This 651-nucleotide long non-coding RNA is filed under the name Homo sapiens (human). Its description in RNAcentral is "long non-coding RNA NONHSAT192326". Lineage: Eukaryota; Metazoa; Chordata; Mammalia; Primates; Hominidae. The record is from RNAcentral.
UCAUGACGCCAUCGUGCUCACAACGGACAAUAAGGUCAAUAUCAUCUCCAAGCUUCCACCUGCGGUAACUGACCAAAGUCAGAGUUGUCUCUCUUGUCAAAGAAGAGUUUGGACCCAACUCUCUGGACGACAAUAUCCCAGGAAUACACUGAGCGGGUACAGCUCAUCAGCGUGGCCAGGAUGGCAUCAGUGGCAAACACAUUCCCCUGAGUUUUUGCCAGCUGCCACACCUUGCGGAUGACAGGGUCGUCUGUGGUGGUGACAGUGUGGAAGAUGCGCUUGAUGCUCCGCAGUGGCUUCUCACUCCUCGUGGUGAUGCGGUCAAAGGCUUUGUCGUAGUAUUCUAGGGCCCAUGUCCUGUGGCUCUGAUACUUCCAAGUAGCGCAUCUUCAUCAACUGAGGAAAAUCCAUUUCCUCUUUCACUUCCCAAUCACUACGAACUUCAACUGAAGAGUCUCGGGGUUUCUGCAGUACCUGUGAUUUCUGAUCCCAUUUCUGCCUAACCCCAAAUUGUUUCUGGAACUUUUUCUGCAGUCGAAUGCGUUCUCUGGAAAGACAGACAUUCACCUCUCUUUCUGUUUGGCACUCUUAGGCAGGAUCUGCAGGUUGAACUGCAACAUGUUCCGACGAUCUUUGUCUCUGCGGAGGUUC